Molecule: ribosomal RNA, 217 nt
Filed under: uncultured bacterium
Lineage: Bacteria
Description: partial 16S ribosomal RNA
Rfam family: Bacterial small subunit ribosomal RNA
Source: RNAcentral
GCAAGUCGAACGAACCUUCGGGUUAGUGGCGGACGGGUGAGUAACGCGUGGGAAUCUGCCCUCAGGAGGGGGAUAACGGCCGGAAACGGCCGCUAAUACCCCAUAUGCCGAGAGGUGAAAUGAAUUUCGCCUGAGGAUGAGCCCGCGUCUGAUUAGCUAGUUGGUGGGGUAAGAGCCUACCAAGGCGACGAUCUAUAGCUGGUCUGAGAGGACGACC